This 434-nucleotide ribosomal RNA is filed under the name uncultured bacterium. Its description in RNAcentral is "partial 16S ribosomal RNA". It matches the Rfam family "Bacterial small subunit ribosomal RNA", at positions 29 to 507 of the family's 1533-position model. The record is from RNAcentral.
AGCGAACGCUGGCGGCAGGCCUAACACAUGCAAGUCGAACGAACCUUUCGGGGUUAGUGGCGGACGGGUGAGUAACACGUGGGAACGUGCCUUUAGGUUCGGAAUAACUCAGGGAAACUUGUGCUAAUACCGAAUGUGCCCUUCGGGGGAAAGAUUUAUCGCCUUUAGAGCGGCCCGCGUCUGAUUAGCUAGUCGGUUGAGGUAAUGGCUCACCAAGGCGACGAUCAGUAGCUGGUCUGAGAGGAUGAUCAGCCACAUUGGGACUGAGACACGGCCCAAACUCCUACGGGAGGCAGCAGUGGGGAAUCUUGCGCAAUGGGCGAAAGCCUGACGCAGCCAUGCCGCGUGAAUGAUGAAGGUCUUAGGAUUGUAAAAUUCUUUCACCGGGGACGAUAAUGACGGUACCCGGAGAAGAAGCCCCGGCUAACUUCGUG